This 3302-nucleotide long non-coding RNA is filed under the name Medicago truncatula (barrel medic). Its description in RNAcentral is "long non-coding RNA (MTRU_LNC006231)". Lineage: Eukaryota; Viridiplantae; Streptophyta; Magnoliopsida; Fabales; Fabaceae. The record is from RNAcentral.
UAAAAAAAUUGUGAGCUUAGAUCUAAGAUAACCUAUCAACUAUUAUAAUUUGGCUGAAUGUUUUAUUAUUAGGCCAGAGAAAUUUGCAGGAAUAUUGGAAGCUCGAUAUUUCUUACAGGAAAUACCCUUAUGUCAUCAUAAUAACUCAAGAAAAUUUAGAUAUUGUUCGUAAUUUCUUUUUCUUUUUCUUUCUUUUAAGGAAUCGUCUGUUUUAUCAUUUAUAAAUACAAGCACAUAGGAGCUAAUUGAGUUAUUGAAUGCAUUCUGUUAUUAUGAUUAGAAAUAAAUAAUAACAGAUAAUUUGGUCCUGAAUAAAUUUGUCAUUUAAAUGGACAAUUAUAACCCAUUCCAAAGGUAGAAAAAUGAAACAAAAUCUAUACAAAUCUAAAUGAUGACUAUUGUACAAAAUUUUCUUGCUAAUCUAUGUCAGUCUCCUUUAGUGUAAGAUUUAUAGCCCAUUGAAGUGAGAAGUAAUAUGCAAGAAAACGUCUUCUGUGCAAGGAAUUGUGAGGCCGCCCAUUGGAUGGUCAUAUCCUAAUUCUUCCUCGUCUUGACUCAACAUGUUUUGAAAUGAAGCUUGGUUCAAGUAUGACGUGGGGAUAACAAAUCGCUUCAUUUGCUCUCCUACUUACACUGCAAGAUAGCCCUUUGGCACAUUCAAUACUUUUGAUGUUUGGCUACUGCUGAAUGAAGCCCGUCUAAUAGCUGCAGGUAAACGGAAACCCAUUUCAAAUGUUUUGAAGAACAAGAUGAAUUUCUCAGAUAUAAGAUAAAUGUAUAAAAGAUCGAUUGCUUGAGUGAUUUGUGAUUGUUGUGAAGGAGGAGGACACUGUAUUUAUAGUUUCCAAGAGUUUUUUGAAAUCCCUUUGCUAGGGAAAUGAUUGUUAAAAGAAUAGGGCCUAUGAGACAAGAGAUCACAUGGGAUUGUCUUAGAUGCCUCUAUCAAGGAUCAAUAAGUUCAAUAAGAGUGCAAACUGUAACCACUCAAAAUCUAAAGAGAUAUACUUAUCUUGUUAUACUCAAUGCUUGUACAAUGCCAACUCAUUUCUUCUUAGACAUGCAUCAGACAUAGCACAUGUUCUCUUUACAUCAAUAACACAACUUUAUGUUGAUGAAUGACCUGACGAAUUAUGAGAAAAAUAUCAGUCAUACGCAAUCACAUUAUUUAUCAACUGUGCAUAUUUGCUGUUCUUGAUUUAGUUUUUGAAGGGCCAGGUUGGAGACAAUAGACAAGCUAUGGUUCACAAGAGAUCACAUGAUACUCUCAAGAGGUCUUUCUCAAAGAUUCAAUGAUUGCUUAAGACUUGAGACAAUAAUUAAAUAUAUGUCCCACGUUAAGAAACUUGGUCGUUACAAUUUACAAAGGCUAAAAAUUUUUGAUAUCAAAACUUGGUCCUACCAAAUACCUUAUGAAUUAUGAUUAUUUUCUGUGCAAAACGCAUAAAAUUUAUACUAAGGUAUUCAAGAUUGAAAGUCCGUUCACUUAUCAGAAUUAAAUGCUACAAAGCUCAAGCUUUUUGGUAAGAACAAACCUCUGAAAGGACUUAUCCCAAUACAGAAACUGAUACUACCUCAUCAAUUAUGAAGAAGAUUUAACAAAUACCAAGUUAGUUGGAGCACUGCCUUUUCAAUGCAGUAAAGUUUGCAAGAAUACAAAGUAUGACACAUUUUAAAUCCUGCUAGUUCUGUGGAAGAGUGAAAACACAAAACACGAUGAAAUUCAAUCAUUUUGCAGGAGUCUAUCCAUAUGAAGACUAGACUUGCAACAACUUCCAAGUAUAUUUCAUGGUUGAUUGAAUUUUAUGCAUCCUCUUGACUUAAGUGGGGUUAAAACGAAGACAAAGGCUAAGACGAAGUACCAUUUUAGAUGAUUCAUUUUUUAACUACAUUUCAAUGGUUCAUGAAACAUUACACUUUUUAACCAUUUGACUAAUUCAGACCUCGCAAUGACAUAUAUCAUAGAUCUUCCAUAUCUUAUAUAUAUUCCCACCUUUUACCUUCAACCCUAAUCCACCCUAGGCAACUGUCACCCUUUGACCGACCCUAUUCCAGCCAUCAGCUUGUCUCCGUUAUAGAUCGUGGCUCUUGUGUCGUAAAUAUCACUAGAGCCACUGUCAGGUUGUCUCAUACAUGCAUUUGAUAUGUCUUUGCUUAGCCGUGAAAGCGUGGCUUUCUAUUUCAUGCAGUCAUGAAGGUUGCCUUGCUCUCCCACUCAUAGGGAAGGUAAUGGGCAGGUAAUAAAGCACUCCUCGUCCCAACAUCUGCAGCGGAAAAACAUUUGUAUUCAAAUCCAACGUAGAUUUUAUAGUUGUCGUUGAAGCGGAAUACAACCGAACAAUGUUUUGAGUUUGGCAGAAUGUUUUAUUAGGCUGAUAAAUUUAAAAUUGGCUGGAUAAUAAUAAAUUUACAAUAAUUUUUUUUCAAAGACUAAAAUAUGUUUCAAAUUUUGCUCGCUCAGGUUAUAUAUUCACAGCACAAUCGCCUUCAACACAAGUAUAGUAAGACAGAUUAAAGAAAUUUGAAUUUUGAUAAUAAGAUCCUAUUCCACCGCGACAGUGUUUUGUAGUCAACCCUCUUAUGUUAACUUUCUCUAUCUAUCCUAAAACUUUCAUGAUUUUUGGAAAUGUUGGUUUUUCAUUGGCUAGUUUGUCUUCAGCAAUCAAAUUACGAAGAUGCAUUUGCUAUAUAUAGCAUCGCAGUUUUAAUAAACACAUAUAUACUUUAUUUUUAUCCCAAGUAAUCAUUAGUUUUGUAACUUAUAAAUAGAAGCAUAUAAGAGCCCUUUGAGUUGUUGAAUGUAGUGUGUCAUUAUGAUUAGAAUUAGAAAUAAAUAAUAACAAACAAUCUCUUCCUGAAUUUGUCAUUCAGAUGGACAAUGCUAACCCAUUCCAAAGGUAUGAAAAGGAAAAAAAAUCUUUACAAAUCUAAAUCAUGACUAUAAUAUACAAAGUGUCCUAGCUAAUCUAUGUCAGUCUUCUUUAGUGUAAGAUUUAUAGCCCAUUGAAGCGAGAAGUAAUUUCCAUGAAAAUAUCUUCUGUGCAAGGAACCGUGAGGCCACCCAUUGGGUGAUCAUAUCCAAAUUCUUCCUCUGCUUGACUCAAUAAGUUUUGAAAGGAAGCUCGGUUCAAGUAUGACAUGGGGAUAACAAACCGCUUCAUUUGCUCUCCAACAUAUACCGCAAGAUAUCCCUUUGGUACAUUCACAACUUUUGAUGAUGCUUGGCUACUUGUAAAUGAAGUUCGUCUAAUAGCAGGUAAACGGAAACCCAUUUCAAAUGUUUUGAAGAAAAAACUGAAUUUCUC